This 40-nucleotide small RNA is filed under the name Arabidopsis thaliana (thale cress). Lineage: Eukaryota; Viridiplantae; Streptophyta; Magnoliopsida; Brassicales; Brassicaceae. The record is from RNAcentral.
UUUCACUUGCCAUAAACAAAAUGAAAGAAAGUCAACCUGC